Molecule: transfer RNA, 90 nt
Filed under: Aspergillus oryzae
Lineage: Eukaryota; Fungi; Ascomycota; Eurotiomycetes; Eurotiales; Aspergillaceae
Also listed under: 1 other name
Description: tRNA-Pro
Source: RNAcentral
GCCCGGAUGGUCUAGUGGUAUGAUUCGCGCUUAGGGUUCACCCGAAGCAGCAAUUGCGCGAGGUCCCCGGUUCGAUCCCGGGUUCGGGCC